Molecule: long non-coding RNA, 86 nt
Organism: Corapipo altera (White-ruffed manakin)
Lineage: Eukaryota; Metazoa; Chordata; Aves; Passeriformes; Pipridae
Exons: 3
Source: RefSeq, a predicted model, not a curated record
UCUUUAUCUUAUCUUAUACACUAAAUUGGCCUGGAGUCUUUUUUCUCUGCGAUCUCUUUUAGGCAACAGUAAAAAUGUAUGAAAAA